This 489-nucleotide ribosomal RNA is filed under the name uncultured bacterium. RNAcentral's name for it is "bacterial SSU rRNA". It matches the Rfam family "Archaeal small subunit ribosomal RNA", at positions 384 to 869 of the family's 1478-position model. The record is from RNAcentral.
AGUGCCGUUGGUCUUUUGAUCGACGGUUUUUAGGAAGUCUAAGAAGCUUCCAGAAUAAGGGCUGGGCAAGACUGGUGCCAGCCGCCGCGGUAACACCAGCAGCCCAAGUGGUGGCCACGAUUAUUGGGCCUAAAGCGCUCGUAGCCGGAUCAAUAAGUCCCUUGUGAAAUCGGGCCGCCCAACGGUUCGGCGUGCAAGGGAUACUGUUGGUCUUGAGGCCGGGAGAGGUCGGAGGUACUCCUGGGGUAGCGGUGAAAUGCUCUAAUCCUAGGGGGACCACCAGUGGCGAAGGCGUCCGACCAGAACGGACCUGACGGUGAGGGGCGAAGGCUAGGGAAGCGAACGGGAUUAGAUACCCCGGUAGUCCUAGCUGUAAAGCAUGCGGGCCAGGUGUCUAGCGCUCCUUGAGGGCGCUAUGUGCCGGAGGGAAGCCGUUAAGCCCGCCGCCUGGGAAGUACGGUCGCAAGGCUGAAACUUAAAGGAAUUGGC